AACGAUGAACCACUUCGGUGGGGAUUAGUGGCGAACGGGUGAGUAACACGUGGGCAAUCUGCCCUUCACUCUGGGACAAGCCCUGGAAACGGGGUCUAAUACCGGAUACAACACUCUCGGGCAUCCGGUGAGUGUGGAAAGCUCCGGCGGUGAAGGAUGAGCCCGCGGCCUAUCAGCUUGUUGGUGAGGUAACGGCUCACCAAGGCGACGACGGGUAGCCGGCCUGAGAGGGCGACCGGCCACACUGGGACUGAG
RNAcentral lists this ribosomal RNA (255 nucleotides) under Streptomyces gottesmaniae. RNAcentral's name for it is "Streptomyces sp. DSM 3412 partial 16S ribosomal RNA". It matches the Rfam family "Bacterial small subunit ribosomal RNA", at positions 65 to 323 of the family's 1533-position model. Lineage: Bacteria; Bacillati; Actinomycetota; Actinomycetes; Kitasatosporales; Streptomycetaceae. The record is from RNAcentral.